Gavialis gangeticus (Gharial) is the source of this 1532-nucleotide long non-coding RNA. RefSeq lists it as uncharacterized. Lineage: Eukaryota; Metazoa; Chordata; Crocodylia; Gavialidae. The record is from RefSeq and is a predicted model, not a curated record. The transcript is spliced from 2 exons.
CCACCCAGCUCAGGAACUGGGGCUGUGCAGUUCAGCCGCAGCUUGGCUGCCAGUAGUAUGUGCUAUUACAGUGCCUGGAGAUGAGGCAGUUUGGAAGCCAGUUUACACAGAGCAAAUGGGUACUUUGAGAUUGAACUGACUAGGGGAGCAGACACACAACUGGUAUACUGGUAUAACACCCCACUUUCUGAGGGGUACCUUUUCCGUAGAAUGAAGUGACUUACCCUAGUGUAAAGCUCUGUAUUGUACAUUUGGUGCACUUUUUAUUAUGAAGUAGUUCAUUUACUCUGUAGCAAACAUAUUGUUUGUCCACACCUCUUGUUACAUAGUACAAGGGGCUGUAACUACAGCUUUGAGACUAUAGCUUUCAUAGCAUCUGACAAAGCAAACUGUUGCUGACAGAAGCUUACGUCUCUCUAAAUUAAUCUAUAAGGCACCACUUUUUUUUCUUUUUUCAUUCGGCUGCUAGACCUAGGUCCCAUCACAAUAAAUUAGAUAUCAGAAAUCUGACUUGCAACUACCUUGGUCAAACCCAUUCUUUGCAGUUUCAACUGGCUUUCUAUUUGGUUGUACCUCCAACUCCCCAGUGUCUUCCACUCAGCCUUCCCCCUGCUACUCUCAUUCCCCACCCCCCUUUUGUUUCUUUUUAGUUUAUCUUCUCCAUGCUACCUCAAGAAAAAAAAACACUGAAUGUGCUUCUUGCCAUCACCUUGUCCAUUCUGCCUUUUAUUAUUAUAUAUUGUGUCUUGUCUAUUUAGACUGUGAGCUCUUUAGAGCCAGGCAUUUUGCUGGUAUAAUACCUAGCAUGAUGGAGUCCUGUUUGACAGGGUCAAAGGUACAGCUGUAAUGCACAUGACUAACAGUAAUAAAGUAAAAUGUGCUAAAGACCAAGGAUCAAAGAGUGUGUUUUUGUAAUGUAAUACUUUUACCUCCUAGAGAUUUAAGCAUAGUGUUUGUAAAUUCUAUCAAAAUGAUGACUGAUCUUUUUUGUGUCAUUCUUUCACACAGUGAGAUAGGAACCAAAAGGAGAAUUUAAAUAUUUACAAUAAAAAGUUGCACACUCCAUGUCAAGUGUCACAAGAUGAUGUCCUGCAGCUGAGAUACAGCUUAGCUGAACUACGCAUGAUCUUGCCAGAUCCAGAAAACCCCUCCAUUAGUGGGUGUAAGCAGAGAAUGCCCCCAGGCAUUGUGUACAGUCCCUGUGAGCUACAAAGCGCAUCCUAUGAUGAGAAGGUUACUGGGCUGCUUUAACUCGACAGACAUUGGAGUUGAAACAGAAUCUAUAGGAAGCAGCAGACAAGCUACCAGGGGAGCAGUGUGUGCAGGACCUCCCAGUGUUGCAAUGGGACACUGAAGAAAAAAACAGAACAUUGUCACGUUUGCUCUGCAGUGACAUCCUCUACACUGUUCUGAUAGUUAGCCUGUGAUGUGCUUACUGCUUUCACAGACCUGAGGAAGGGCAUUUUGUACCUGAUUGUCUAAUAUUUCUCUCAACCAUAAGUUGGUCCAAUAAAAGAUAUUACAUCACCUCA